CAGGUCUUGACAUCCCUUGACAACUCCAGAGAUGGAGCGUUCCCUUCGGGGACAAGGUGACAGGUGGUGCAUGGUUGUCGUCAGCUCGUGUCGUGAGAUGUUGGGUUAAGUCCCGCAACGAGCGCAACCCUUAUUAUUAGUUGCCAGCAUUCAGUUGGGCACUCUAGUGAGACUGCCGGUGACAAACCGGAGGAAGGUGGGGAUGACGUCAAAUCAUCAUGCCCCUUAUGACCUGGGCUACACACGUGCUACAAUGGCGUAUACAACGAGUUGCCAACCCGCGAGGGUGAGCUAAUCUCUUAAAGUACGUCUCAGUUCGGAUUGUAGUCUGCAACUCGCCUACAUGAAGUCGGAAUCGCUAGUAAUCGCGGAUCAGCACGCCGCGGUGAAUACGUUCCC
RNAcentral lists this ribosomal RNA (399 nucleotides) under uncultured bacterium. Its description in RNAcentral is "bacterial SSU rRNA". It matches the Rfam family "Bacterial small subunit ribosomal RNA", at positions 975 to 1375 of the family's 1533-position model. The record is from RNAcentral.